UGGGGGAUAUUGCACAAUGGGAGGAAACUCUGAUGCAGCAACGCCGCGUGAAGGAUUGAAGGUCUUCGGAUUGUAAACUUUUGUACUUGGGGACGAUAAUGACGGUACCCAAGCAGCAAGCUCCGGCUAACUACGUGCCAGCAGCCGCGGUAAUACGUAGGGAGCAAGCGUUGUCCGGAUUUACUGGGUGUAAAGGUGCGUAGGCGGCUAUGCAAGUCAGUUGUGAAAACUAUGGGCUCAACCCAUAGCCUGCAAUUGAAACUGCGUGGCUUGAGUGAAGUAGAGGUAGGUGGAAUUCCCGGUGUAGCGGUGAAAUGCGUAGAGAUCGGGAGGAACACCAGUGGCGAAGGCGACCUACUGGGCUUUAACUGACGCUGGGCACGA
This 384-nucleotide ribosomal RNA is filed under the name uncultured bacterium. Its description in RNAcentral is "partial 16S ribosomal RNA". It matches the Rfam family "Bacterial small subunit ribosomal RNA", at positions 355 to 756 of the family's 1533-position model. The record is from RNAcentral.